GGUUAAAGCUGGGGAUUGAAAGAUGCUUAUAUUUUUCCUGACCAGACACAAUUGAUAGAUUCAUUACUUUUCAGACACCCGUCCUGAAAAUAAAUGAAGUGCACUGUACACACUGAUGGUCUCUGAUGCGCAGUUUGGGUUCAUACUUCGCCAUCGGAGCCAAUUCAGCGGGGAGACAGAGGGGCGAGAGGCUGUCAUUCUGUUGUUUUUGGAGCUUUAUGCUUUGGGAUUUGAAUAUGAAAUAUAAAUACAGUGGGUUUUAUUUAUCUGAGGAUUUGGUUGGAGAGAUGAUUGAAUAGUGCUGAGCAGAGGGCUUACUCUGCCGCCUUUAGAGGCCCUGUGUGUCCUCGCUUUCAACAAGAUCAGCACUACAAGCGUCUGCUUCACAGAGAGCCAGCCAGCCUCUCUUUUACCUUUUGUUUGCCGCUCUCUCGACAGAUGUGUUCAUAAAUUUCCAUCCCUGCCAUUUCCUCUCUCCCACCUCGCCGCAAACGCAUCUCCAAGAGUCCCUCAUCCUUGAACGCGGCGCUCCCUGAGUUGAGUACGAGUUACGCCACCAAUCUUUGUUGGGAGACCGAAAAGGGGGUUUAUUUCAUAUCAUGCUCCAUAAACCGGCACUAAAACCUGGGAGGGCGAGCAAUCAGGAGGCGAACACAUUGUGGGCCGCUGGGAUUCUCCAACAUGGCUGCACCUCCAACUCCCCCGGACUCACGCCAAGCGUUAAAUCAAAGAUGGGGGAGCCGGCUAUACGCGGGGCUGGAGAUUAGUGCUGGAGAAAUGAUUCCAUGCUAAUUGGAAAAAGAAACCAUACAACACCUUAUAAGCAGAAAACCCAUUAUGCGGCAUCAUGGUGAGAGAGUGGGAGAGAAUUGAAAAUGGGAUGAAUACAAAUGGCACAAGAGUUGAAACGAGAGUGGGCUGAACUUCUGAUGGACGGAUCAGCAUAAUAGGGGGUGAAGGUAUUCAGAUGAAAUCACAAAGUCAUUCCAAAAGGGGCCUGAUCUGAAAGCAAAGGACUCUGGGAAACAAGUUGGAGUUGAGCCAUUUAAGGAGGGUGGAGUGAAAGGUCCAAAAAUCGAUGGAUGGACCCUGCCUGCCUUUUCAUUACAACACCUGACACGAAAGGACAGCGGAUUUCGUCAUUUCAUGAUGGCGCCCUCAGCGUGAAAAGGAGCUGAUAUAAUGCACCGCGGGGCGAGGAGGAGCUGAGAGGGAGAAAAUAGAAAACCAAUGCGGACAGAGUCGCGGCGAGUAAUGGGCAAAGGUUUGGCUGAAAGGUUGGGGUUGUACAGUUAAUUCAGGCUGACAGGGUAGGGGAUAAAAAUGGGUUUCUCUCUCCACAGCCAACGAGAGGGCCACCCUUGUCCAAUCUCUUUGAUGGAGAGAGGAGCGCAUCCCUCCCCUUUUUUUUCUCCCCAGCAAAGGGGGAGACAGCAGCAGAGAGAGAGGGGGGGAGGCGCGUUAUUGAAGGUGAAAAGUUGCAAUGUUUUCUGAGUGGACAGCCUCAAGGGCAGCUGGCAAGAGAUUAGAGGAUGUUAUUAGAAAGCAAUGGGCUGUACCUUCCACUCAUAAUCCUCCCACAUGGGACUGAGUGCGUUUAUCUGUGAGUGCUCCUAACCUGAUGUUAUCUGUGGCAUUACAUCCCAGGGACUAUGAAAAACAGGCCGCACUCCUCUGCUCAGGUAAAUGUUUUUGUUUCUAUUUUUGACACUUUUAUUCGCCUCAAUUUACUUCGUUUAUUUGACUUGUAACAGCAGCGAUCCCCCUCUGAAUACCCCUGAACCGCAGCAGUGUUACAGUGGCUUUCCAAAACACAUUAGCACUGACAGGCUGCAUAAAUAUCAGAGUAAUUUCAAACUACAGGACGAUAUUUUUAGUGAUCUGCAGGAAGUAGAAGCAUAAAGUCAAAACUCUACAGGGGUGGAGCUAAAGGAGAGGCCGGGGUGUCCCAGCCCAGCCCAACCCCCUUAAAAUCUGCCCACUACAACACCGUUAAUCACCACCAGCUAAUUACCACCAUAUGUAAAGUUAUUUGUUUGCCUUACAAAAAAAAUUGAGUGAGGUUAUUGACACUACAUCUUUCUUUAUAUUUUAAAGUCUUGCAUUUCUUUCUAUUCAUAUAACCACUGAACCAUAUUGUUUUAUUACUGGAAUUUUUCUGCAUUUUAAAUUGUGUAUUUUAAUUGUUAUUUUUUUUGUAAAGCAUCUUUGAGCACCUGUAAAAGCAUGUUAUGAAUAAAAUUUAUUUUUUUUAUUUUUUUAUUUUUUCUAUAUUUAUUUUUGUAUUUCAGACAUUUUUUUCCCUCUUUCUGUUUUUCGGACAGAUUUUUUUUCCUGUUUUUCAUACAAUUUUUUUCGUCUUCAUGUUUUUCAAAAUCCUGUGAGAAUCAUAUACAAGUUAACUUUAUUUAGAUACAAACAAACACAAAAAAGGGUUACAAAGCACAGAAGCAUAUUGCACUCCCUUACAGAAAGGAAAUUUUUUUUUUUUUCUAUUUUUUUUUUUAUUUUCCAUAUAUUUUCUAUAUUUAUUCUUGUUUUUCAAACAUUUUUUUUUUCUUUUUUCUUUUUUUCGGCCUUUUUUUUUUUUUUAAAGAAAUAAAAUAUGUUAAAAAAAGACUAAAAACAUGAAUAGAUAAAGUGAAUAAAGUUGGAAUAAACUGACAAAAGAUACAGAGUUGAGAGACACUUUCUGAAAUCCGGACAAAAGCAGAGUUUAGAGGAUUAAGACAUGUUUAGAUGAUGUCUCCUUUUAAAAUGAUCUAAAAAGAGGAUUUAACAGAUAAUAACCUGGUCACCUUCAGUCCACAACCUCAAUACUGGCAGAGCAAAUAGAACGUUAUGAGCUGGCAUAUAUAGACACAAAAACAUUUGUGAGUACGAUCAGAGCAUGUCCUGAUAGCUAAGAAUAACAUGUUAAAAUCAACUCUUUAACAAAGUGAAGGUAAAACCGGAGCGCUGUGAGACGGUACCUCGUUAUUGUUCUGCUGAAGAACCGAGCUGCAGAAUCUGAGAGUCCAAACAGGAGCAGCUGACAGCCUGAAUGACAGUCUCAAGUUUUUUCUAGACGUCAUUUUGGAGAGUCUGUUCAGCUGCACAAAACAAGACGUCACAUUCGGGUUCAGACUGAGUUUAUUGUCACAGAUAAAGCUAAAAUUAAAGUGUGUUAUCUGUCCUUUAUAUGGUGUUUUUAUUAACUGCUAUAGAACAAACUUUCUUGUGUCUAAUAACUCAACAUUUCUGUGUGUGUUCGCAGCAUGGCGUGUGAGCCAACAAAAAUCAAAGAUUCAUUGGCGUCAGCUGCCCCCCAGUUGUUGUUGGACUGUGUUAAUUAUGUUUUGCAUGUGGUAAAAGGUGAAUUUAAUGGCAAAAUGUACGAGGAAAUCCAUUACGGUGCACCUCUUAUAAAAGUUAAAUGACCGUGUUAAGUGCUACCAUCCUCGAUGCUCACUGCGGUCGUAAACUUAAGUUUAAAUGUCCUCCGAGUGACUGAAUUAGCAAAAAAGAGAGCAAAGACUUCCCCUCCUCUGUGAUUCCCUCGCUCUCUAUCUGCUGUCUGUCAAACCCGAAAUACGCCGUAAAGACAUCAGUUUAAAUCAUUACCAAAGUUUGGAGAGGGCCCAAUAUGUAGAACUGUGAAGCUUAAACUCAUCCUGCAUGAUAACGAGUUUUUCUUUUCUUUUUUUUUUUAUCUUCCAAUUUCAUUUUCGUUCCAGGUGCUAUUUUAAACUCAUCCUGCAUUAUAACCAGUUUUUCUUUUCUUUUCUUUUUUUUUUUAUCUUCCAAUUUCAUUUUCCUUCCAGGUGCUAUUUCCUCUCAUCGCCCACCUAUGACAACAACCGCCGUGUUCUUCACGGGGACGCUUUGAACUAAAUUUCAGAACAAGGUCACCCAGGAAGACGGCUGCUCUGACGGCGCGCUGAAUCCUGAAUCCAUUCAUGAGUUUCUCCCCAAACAAACAAACACGGCUCUCUCAUCCAAACACGCAUCAGUACGAACUCCAUCCUCCGUCUUUGUCUGUGCUGUUAUUUUUAUUGACGUGUUCUUAAAUUGAUCCAAUGUGCCGCGGAUGAAGGUACUCGAGUGAACCGUCUUUGGUUCGUUUUUUACCCACAAAAAGCACUUAUUCGGUCUUGUUUACCCUAUCAACCAAAGAGAGGAUGAGUCUUCCAGCCAUGAGAGCUUAAUAAUCUCUGCUCUGUAUCAUCUGUCUCUCCAAUAAACUCCAUUUAUUUAUGGUUCAUAGAUGUUGUGCUCGUUGCUCUUCCUUUCAGGCCAGGUCAGGCUGAACUUGCUUCGAUGAGACUCUUUACAAACAUAAUAUGUCCUUUGACUAUGCAGGAGUAAAUCUUCAGUACUGUAUCCUUGUCAUGCAUUAAGCCUAAAGGCUGAUUUAUAUUUUGCAUAGGAGACAGAAACGGAGGCAGCGUUGGAGGAGGGGGCGGCGGUCGGUCAGGCCACUAAAUGCCUCGCGGUUGGAGGACAGAGAGUUCUUUUAAUGAUGAGAGAAAUUGACGACGAUCAUCAUUUUCAAGUACUUCAGGAAGUCUGCCGGGGCAUUCGACAACUUGCUUCGCUGGGUGGCCCCCCACAUCCUGCACCACAAGUCAACAUAUAGCUGGAAAUAUGGAGGAAAAGAGCGUAAUGCCUGGACGGAAAGCUAUGUCCGUAUCUGGAUUCGUGUUCAACGUUGAGCAUUAAUGAGCCUUAAAACAUACAGCGUGUUCCGUCAGCGUUGCGUGCCCCACAGCGAAUAGGUUGCCAUUCUAAUCAAUGCAGCGUUGCACACAUGAAGCGUCUCUACUUCGUCGCAACUCCGUCUCAGAAGUGUGUCGAGCGUGGCUAUGCUAAAGAUACACGCCGAGUCUAUUUUUGCUGCUUUACACUUCCAACACGUGUCAAUCUACACAGAGAAGAUCGUUCUAGACAGGAUGUAAAACACAAAAACCACGAAUGUCAUCCGGUAUUUCAAAAUAAAACACCAUAUGCGGACUCCUGACUGUGUAUCAGCUUGUGUUGAUGAGAAAUACUUCCUGGUUAUGGAUUUAUCAGGAACACAGAACAAUCUGAUAGUCAAUCCCUGAUCCAUGUGGACCCAAACAGGACUUUGAAGUGCUAACUCUGUCUGAAGGUAACAGCACAGCAUGAAGGAAAAUCAUUGACUUUAUUAAACACGAGUAAACCUGCAAAAACCCAAACUGUAAAAUCACAUUGACUUAUCACAUAGAGUAGAGGCUCAACAGUCACUGAAUUAUAUCCAAAUUAUCAGGAAAUAGACCGCAAAACAACCUGUUGUGAGCAUGUUGUUUCCUCUAUACUGAGCCCAGCUGACCGGGGCUGAACUACGCUGCUGCUACUCUCCAAAUACACAGAGACACGAUGCUGACAGAAGCUUUGGUCUGAAAUGUGGCAAGGCUGGCCCUCGAUAUCUCAUCAGCCUCUGAUCUCUGGCACCUGAGAAACCUCGACAAAAGGCAGAGCCAAGCUUCUCCCUCACUCAGCCAGGAUCAUCUCAACUCUAUCUUUGUUUAGACCUUAACCUGAUUUCACUGAAAAUAAACUUUUAUUUUAUUUUGCCUUUUUGAUUCCCUUGUGUUGUAACACUGCAAUCAUCUUCACCAACAACUUGAAGCUCAGGUGACCAUAUUUUGAAUCCCCAAUAAGAGGCCAUUUCAACCAGGAGUUGCUUGUAGUGAAGUUUGAGAGUUUUUCGGAUCAGGUCGGGUGUUUUUUUCACGCUUCCAACCUAGCAAGUCCAUGCGACACAAACUCAAAACUUCCAUUCAAAACCCCGGACAUUUGAAGGAUUUUAAAAUUCCCCCAGACAAGGCCAGACAGCCCCAAAAAAGGAGGACAUGUCCGGGUAAAAGAGGACGUAUAAUCACCCUACUUGAAGCGCAACCUCACAAUAUCGAUGCAAAAAUCACCGGGAACUUUGAGCUCUUGUGUUUCCUGCUAGUCUCACACUUUCAAACAGAAGUAGAAUGAUCCAAAGCAUGACUAGACUCUGAAUCUGAAUGAUUUACCCAACAGCAACAUAGCAAAGGUCCGCUAUCACUCUCAGCGGCUGGAUCUGGGAGCAGCCACUUAGCAUCUCCUCCUGACCUUGGCUGUCAUGUUAGCAUGCAUGAGCAAUCUGCAUCCCUGACGCUUUGAUGUGCCGCCGUCUCUCCUUCUCCAUCCAUGCAUGAGCAAGUUAAAGAUUUCCUGCCCGGGUCAAUCAUAUUGAAUGGGGGUCUGAUCGACUGUGACAGGGAGCUCUCUCUCAGACCGAGCUCGCGGGGUGCCAGGAAAGCGUUUCACCUCGGCCAGGUGCAGUCACCUUGGCCGUGAGCAAUGAGCUCCGAGGUUGGCUGAGUAAUUCCCCCAUGUUUCUCUCGGGGGUUAGCACAUCAAAGAGAUCUGCAUGUAGAUUAAAGCCCCCGAGCUCGAAGAGAGUUUACCCUUAGCCUGUUCGCAUGCACUCCCACAACAACAGAGAAUAUCUAAACAGAGGGACCGGGAACACAGCGAGAGCUCUUUCUUCUAUCAUCUGAAGUAAAUAGAGAAAGCGAGCCACGAGCAAGUCAUUAAAAGACCACCUGUUCUGCAUCUCCAUCUCAGCCUUUAAGUAUCAUAUCGACAGCAAAACAUCCAAGACCCGUGCAGCAUGCGCACCGCCAAGUAAACACAUCUGAGCGCUUGCACACAUGCAGACGCAUCCACACACACCAUUAGACAUAUGCCUCUGGUUAAGGUGAUGAUGCACAACAUAUGGCGCUCAAGAGCCCACUAAAACCCCCUUGCAGAGAACACAAGGAUCUAUAGGAUUAGUGUGCGAGGAGUUCAUGCAUCCAGAACUUUCAGAUUUAGGUCGCUGGCAAAGGUUGACAGGCUAACAGGCUGCUUCAGAAGUUUAAUUAGUUUUUAUGGGACCAACUUUUUCCAAAUAAGAAAAAUGAGCGACUAUUACGGUCACAUGAUAGCUCGCUGUUGAAUACUUAAUAAAGUUGCGGUGAUUAUCUCGGCGGAGAGCAGAGGGCAUUGUCUCAUUGAUGAGUUGUCAGCAAUUACAGGACAGAUGUUCUGAGGGAAGAGCUGAUAAUCACAGUUAUCACCGACCGACUCGAUAUCACUUGUUCCUGCAGCGUCUAUUGUUCCAUUAGAGCUCAGGCGAAACAGAGUGUACUCACCGAGAGACUGGAGGGAGAUUUCAGGAUGCUGGUUUCGGCCUCUGCGUGUGAAGCGCUCGCACAGAUGCUGUCGUCCUCGAGGCGGAAAGCCCAGGUUAGAUUGUGUCCUGAGGCUUCUUGUCAGUCCCCGCUCAGUCCUCCUCGUUUCCUUCUCUAUCCAGAGUCCUCUCUCUAAAAACACACACAUUCAUGCUGCUUUCAAAUCAGUGUGAAGUUAGUUUUCUCUGUCCUCCACUGACCUGUGAAUCACUUCUCCAAAAACUACCUUGAAUAGAGAAAGAUUUAAACUACAAAAACUGAGCAUAGGGGCUAGUUCAGGCAGGCCACAAAGUCAAGUCUUAUUUUAACCAAAAGGUAGGUGGACUGUCUGCACACUGGGAGUCUUAACUGUCGCUUUUCCUGCCUUGGCUUUUUCACAUCUGCAUGUUGAAGGGCAGAAAACUCCCAGAGCCAAGGAAAUAUAACCAUGACAUAAAAAAAUCCUGGCUGAACUCCUGAAGAUUUAAAAAUUGUCUAUUUUCAGAAGGAGCUUAUAUACCGGCUAAAAUGACAGCUAGCUACACUGCAAAAACUAAAUUCCCAGAUAACGGAUCAGUCAAACUUUUGGGCAAAAUAUCUCUCUACACCUGAUGAGUGUCACUUAAAACAGAAACACAUAUAUACUUAAAGGUUUUCAAUCAAAGAAUAAAUAAGAGGUCUUUUUUUUUUAGAAAAACUCAAAGAAAAUUUGUAUCUUGAAUUGAAUGUUGAAAGAUUUGAGAUUUUGCAGCAUGUUUUAGUUAAAGGUAAGCUCCACAUGUUGACUUAAAGAAAGUGUUGUUCCAUUUUCUUCCCUGUAAAUCUAUUUAACGCUCCUCUAAAAAUGUGCAUGAUUUUCACUUUUUUCAUGCUUGAUGCUAAAAUACAGACUUUUUAAUUAAGAGGGCAUAUCAGUUUUGGAAUAAUAAUAAUAAUAAUAUACAUAAUAAUUCUAUUUGUAUAGCACCUUUAAAAACAGAUGUUUACAAAGUGCUUUAACAGAAGAAGCAAACAAAGGCAGAAACAGACGAAGGAAAAUUGACAGUUAAAAAUGGCCGUUAAAGAUUGACAGUUUGUUAGGAUGAGUUUCUUUAGCCAGUCAUGUCAGCCUUUAGAGUGGUGGAGCUGUGUCUCUCAAAUAUCUCAGAUACUUCAGUGUUAGAUUGCUGGAGCUGGGGGCCUUCGACAACUAUCCUCAACAAGGACCCUGUACCCAUGUUUUACAUCACUCAGGUCCCCAAAAUAUGUUCUGUCAUGGUAUUUCCUUCUAUGGACCCUCCAUAUGUUCACCUAAAGCUCCUUAAAAUAUGUUGUUCUUUGUUCUUACCGUACAUGGAUUUUUCUUAGGGUCAACUAAAUGUCAGCAGUAUGUUUAGAAAUGUGGACGACGAUAUAUACUUGAACAGUCUUGAACCAUUCUUUGUCACACUUGUGGCAUGAUAAAGCUGUAACCCAGAUCUGCAACCAGUAAAGCCUGUCAAAAUGAUAAUUCGUUUGGACCUUCCAUUCUUUAAAGUAAGAACAUGGGCUAGGCAUCCUUACACAGUUGGUGGUUGACGGCAUCACAUCAGGAUGAUGAAAAGGAGGAAGAUGGAUAGAGGACAGAUAAAAAAAGAGGAAGAGAAAAGAAUACAAGGUAAGGUAAAAUAAGAGUGAUAAUGAAAAGGGAGGGAGUAUAUAAAAAUAUGAGAAAAUGUUAAAAACAGGAUGACUGCUACUAAAACUGAUUCAUAACUGUUCUAAAAGAAAAUCUAACUUUGUUUGCAAACUUCACUCUCUUAUUUUGUUUGUGCGCUGCAAAUGCUCACAUAGUUCAAAUUUGAAAAACAUGUUAAGUCAAUGCAACAGCAAAAACGAGCUGCAAAAAACCUGAAACAUCACAUCAAAUGGAAAUGCUGCGAAUGGACAAAAAGUGCAAGGUGAAAACAGACAAAUUCUGAAAACAUAUUCUUGACUUUCCAGAUGGAGCGCUUCAGGCCCGUAGGGGAGCAGACUGAAACAGCUUCACUAUCACCAAGACCCUUUCACCUGUGCAUGUGUUUUGAAUUUGCACCUGCAGCAUAUCUCAGAGACUGUUAGGGGCGUUUCAGAUUAUCUGCCCUGGUUGGCCACAGUAUGUGACUAAAAACUUUAAAGAAAUUCUAUCACAGAAGACAGAAAUCUGAAUCCAACUUUUAUGAAGGUUAGAAUUUCCUUAAACAAACUCUGGUGUUUACGAAUGCUCACCUUUUUAUCAAAUUAUGCAGAUGAACUUCUCGUUAAAGAGACUGACAGAUGUUUGAAUGCAAAUUCAUGAGCGCGGGAACUUGUAAAUGAGCGUCAUUAUCGCCGCCGUCAGGGGAAAAGUUGAGCUACUGUUAAAUGUUUAGUUUUUCUUUAAGUCUAAAGAUCAUAUCUGCGUGACAGAAACGAAAUCUCAAGUGAUUUUUCAGAAACCAUUAAUACGUGAAUGCUCCGAGAGAAUGAGAGAAUGAUGGAUCCGUGCAUCAUUAUUCCAACAUUACACAGAUGUUCCUCAUGGGGACACUUAAUAAAGGUCAGCGUUUCAAAACCUGAAAGGCCAACAGUCUGCUUUUGAUGGAACGUAGAUGGAUGAAUCGCCCUGAUGCAGAUAAACCCCGGGGAUCCCUCUAUUAUAUGCAAAGGCUUGUUGAGACUUGAAUGCAACAUCGGUGUCAUUUCAUCACUGAUUAAAAUGCAGCGCCUCAAAUGCCACCGAGAAACCACAACUGGCGCUUGAGGGAGAAUUUUCCAAAAUGAGUCUAAGAAGAAGAGGAAGAAGGUGAGACCAGUCUGCACCUUAAGACACACAAAGGGGGCCGUCUUGGCGCUGUCUUUAGCGGUGAUACCCAUGCAACGCGGGGUCGGGGUCGCAUCUGGCGCUCCCUGGAUCCGAUCUGAGCAAUCAGACGGAGCUGGCGAAGCAUCACACGGCAGCCUCGGUGCUCAGCAGGAGCGAAGGAACGCAGAAAAAGAGAGCAAGGAAGAAGAGUGGGCGAGAGGUGUACAGAUGGUGGAUAACUCCUCAUACGUACAUGCUGCACGUACUUCCUCCCCGUAUAUCUUAUCUCUCAAGUGUCCUCAUUUUCUAAAUUAAAUCUCAAAUCUUUACCGACUCUUUCCUGUCGUCUUGUCUCUUUGAUUUGACUCCAAAAGGAAGGUACUUUUAUAGAGAACAAGGAGGUCCUUGAAAAAGAGAAGAUAUUCAUCUUUUGUUCCUAACAACAUCCCUCAUCCGGAGAUUUCCAUCAUCAUUUAUGCUCCUCUUGUCACGGUGACGUCUCAAUAGAAAGUUGAAAGAAAAUCUCUGCAACAAUUUGAGUAGAAAACAUGAAUCGAUGCAUAUUUCGUGUCAAGGAGGACGCGGUAAUGCCGACUGUUUAAGGACAACUGAAUCUUCUACGUGUUGAAACCUCAAUAAGAAGCUUUAAUAAGUUUCCGUCAGUAAAAUCUGCUAACCUUUAUUUGUACAGGCUUUUUAUUUCGUCCACAAAAAGAUCAAAUUUCAUUGUCUUACUUCCAGAUGAUGGGGUUCAGUUUAUUUUCCCCUUCUAUUAUUUUAAAUAUCAAUACAAAACUGCUUUUAUUGUGCUAAAGUGACACACUGACUGUCUUCAUCCACCAAGAGCGAGUAAAAUCAUUCGCGCGAAUGAAUUACAUGUUAAGUCAAUGCAAAGACGCGAUUAGAUGCCUCUACUAGUUUGGCUGCACGAAUGAAGCGAAUUGGGCGUGAACUGAAAAUGUUCUUAACUUGAGCGGAUGUUUGCAUCGCGAAAUUACCGUUGACGCACGAAUAAAACGAGUAAAUACUAUUUUAAGUGUCUAGAUUCACGCGAAUUAAGCGAGUUAAGCGAGUAGACGAUUUUACUCGCGCACCAUGACAGCUCUCAGUUCCCCCUUUUUGUCUCAGUGCUGCUGUGGCAUUCACAAAAUUUUACAUACUGCAAAUGUGACAUGAUGCAUUUCUGUGAAAGUAAAAACUAUUAGCUGUUUAUUCCACUAACGUGAAGAAGGGUUGCACUAGUAGAAACAGAGAGAGCUACAGCAGU
Xyrichtys novacula (pearly razorfish) is the source of this 11239-nucleotide non-coding RNA. NCBI's taxonomy places the organism in Eukaryota, Metazoa, Chordata, Actinopteri, Labriformes, Labridae. The record is from the annotation of a GenBank genome assembly.